CCUACGGGCGGCAGCAGUGAGGAAUAUUGGUCAAUGGACGAGAGUCUGAACCAGUCAAGUAGCGUGAAGGAUGACUGCCCUAUGGGUUGUAAACUUCUUUUAUAUGGGAAUAAAAUGUUCCACGUGUGGGAUUUUGUAUGUACCAUAUGAAUAAGGAUCGGCUAACUCCGUGCCAGCAGCCGCGGUAAUACGGAGGAUCCGAGCGUUAUCCGGAUUUAUUGGGUUUAAAGGGAGCGUAGGUGGAUUGUUAAGUCAGUUGUGAAAGUUUGCGGCUCAACCGUAAAAUUGCAGUUGAAACUGGCAGUCUUGAGUAGAGUAGAGGUGGGCGGAAUGCGUGGUGUAGCGGUGAAAUGCUUAGAUAUCACGAAGAACUCCGAUUGCGAAGGCAGCUCGCUGGACUGCAACUGACACUGAGGCUCGAAAGUGUGGGUAUCAAACAGGAUUAGAUACCCUUGUAGUC
Molecule: ribosomal RNA, 460 nt
Filed under: uncultured bacterium
Lineage: Bacteria
Description: partial 16S ribosomal RNA
Rfam family: Bacterial small subunit ribosomal RNA
Source: RNAcentral